GGUGUGUGUGUACCAGGUAGUAUAACUGUCUAGGUGUGUGUACCAGGUAGUAUAACUCUCUAGCUGUGUGUGUGUGUGUGUACCAGGUAGUAUUGCUCUAGGUUAGACUCUAGGUGUGUGUAUACCAGGUAGUAUAACUCUCUAGGUGUGUGUAUACCAGGUAGUAUAACUCUCUAGGUGUGUGUAUACCAGGUAGUAUAACUCUCUAGGUGUGUGUAUACCAGGUAGUAUAACUCUCUAGGUGUGUGUAUACCAGGUAGUAUAACUCUCUAGGUGUGUGUAUACCAGGUAGUAUAACUCUCUAGAUGUGUAUACCAGGUAGUAUUGCUCUAGGGUAGACUCUAGGAGUGUGUACCAGGUAGUAUAACUCUCUAGGUGUGUGUACCAGGUAGUAUAACUCUCUAGGUGUGUGUACCAGGUAGUAUUGCUCUAGGGUAGACUCUAGGUGUGUGUACCAGGUAGUAUUGCUCUAGGGUAGACUCUAGGUGUGUGUGUACCAGGUAGUAUAACUCUCUAGGUGUGUGUGUACCAGGUAGUAUAACUCUAGGUGUGUGUGUAACAGGUAGUAUAACUCUCUAGGUGUGUGUACCAGG
Molecule: long non-coding RNA, 593 nt
Filed under: Salmo salar (Atlantic salmon)
Lineage: Eukaryota; Metazoa; Chordata; Actinopteri; Salmoniformes; Salmonidae
Description: lncRNA (ENSSSAG00000095883.1)
Source: RNAcentral